RNAcentral lists this ribosomal RNA (340 nucleotides) under uncultured microorganism. RNAcentral describes it as "bacterial SSU rRNA". It matches the Rfam family "Bacterial small subunit ribosomal RNA", at positions 9 to 350 of the family's 1533-position model. The record is from RNAcentral.
GAGUUUGAUCCUGGCUCAGAUUGAACGCUGGCGGCGUGCCUUACACAUGCAAGUCGAACGGUAACAGGUCUUCGGAUGCUGACGAGUGGCGAACGGGUGAGUAAUACAUCGGAACGUGCCCGAUCGUGGGGGAUAACGGAGCGAAAGCUUUGCUAAUACCGCAUACGAUCUACGGAUGAAAGCAGGGGACCGCAAGGCCUUGCGCGGACGGAGCGGCCGAUGGCAGAUUAGGUAGUUGGUGGGAUUAAAAGCUUACCUAAGCCGACGAUCUGUAGCUGGUCUGAGAGGACGACCAGCCACACUGGGACGUGAGACACGGCCCAGACUCCUACGGGAGGCA